This 467-nucleotide ribosomal RNA is filed under the name uncultured bacterium. RNAcentral describes it as "partial 16S ribosomal RNA". It matches the Rfam family "Bacterial small subunit ribosomal RNA", at positions 28 to 523 of the family's 1533-position model. The record is from RNAcentral.
GACGAACGCUGGCGGCGUGCUUAACACAUGCAAGUCGAGCGAGGAACUUCGGUUCCUAGCGGCGGACGGGUGAGUAACACGUGGGCAACCUGCCUCACAAUGGGGGAUAGCCUUCCGAAAGGAAGAUUAAUACCCCAUAAUACAAAGGAAACGCAUGUUUCUUUUGCCAAAGAAUUUCGUUGUGAGAUGGGCCCGCGGCGCAUUAGCUUGUUGGUGAGGUAACGGCUCACAAAGGCUUCGAUGCGUAGCCGAACUGAGAGGGUGAUCGGCCACAUUGGAUCUUAGACACGGUCGAGACUCCUACGGGAGGCAGCAGUGGUGAAUAUUGCACAAUGGAGGAAACUCUGAUGCAGCAACGCCGCGUGAGUGAUGAAGGUCUUCGGAUUGUAAAGCUCUGUCUUCUGGGACGAUGAUGACGGUACAAGAGGAGGAAGCCACGGCUAACUACGUGCCAGCAGCCGCAGUAA